AAGUGUGUGCUGCCCAUCCUGCUGUUCUUUUCUUUCUGAAUGGAAAUUUUUGUAGGGAAGAUGAUGAAAGAAGGUUUCCUAAGGAGGUUAGGGUCAAGGAGAGGAGACAAACAAAGCUCAGUAGCUGAGCGCUCUCCCCUGUUGGACAUGCGUAGCUCUGGCACCCAGGGGCACGGUACACCCAGCGGAUUGGAUGGCACCUCCAGCGGGUCUCACAGCCUCUGUCCCACACAGACUUCCUCAGUCACAGCUCAGGCAUUUUCUUCCUCCUUUCCUUCCUUUCCUAGGGAGUUUCUUGUUUGUUUGUUUGUUUGUUUUUGAGUCGGGGUCUCACUGUGGGUCCCUUGCUGUCUUGGAACUCUAUAGACCAGGUUGUCUUAGAAGUCAGAGAUCCGGGGUUGGGGAUUUAGCUCAGUGGUAGAGCACUUGCCUAGCAAGCGCAAGGCUCUGGGUUCAGUCCCCAGCUCCGGAAAAAAAAAAAAAAAAA
This 487-nucleotide long non-coding RNA is filed under the name Rattus norvegicus (Norway rat). RNAcentral's name for it is "long non-coding RNA NONRATT022533". The stretch from base 401 to 463 matches the Rfam family "tRNA". The record is from RNAcentral. Lineage: Eukaryota; Metazoa; Chordata; Mammalia; Rodentia; Muridae.